CGGCGGACGGGUAAGUAACACGUGGAUAACCUACCUAUAAGACUGGGAUAACUUCGGGAAACCGGAGCUAAUACCGGAUAAUAUAUUGAACCGCAUGGUUCAAUAGUGAAAGACGGUUUUGCUGUCACUUAUAGAUGGAUCCGCGCCGCAUUAGCUAGUUGGUAAGGUAACGGCUUACCAAGGCAACGAUGCGUAGCCGACCUGAGAGGGUGAUCGGCCACACUGGAACUGAGACACGGUCCAG
Molecule: ribosomal RNA, 244 nt
Filed under: uncultured Staphylococcus sp.
Lineage: Bacteria; Bacillati; Bacillota; Bacilli; Caryophanales; Staphylococcaceae
Description: partial 16S ribosomal RNA
Rfam family: Bacterial small subunit ribosomal RNA
Source: RNAcentral